RNAcentral lists this ribosomal RNA (504 nucleotides) under uncultured bacterium. RNAcentral's name for it is "bacterial SSU rRNA". It matches the Rfam family "Bacterial small subunit ribosomal RNA", at positions 26 to 518 of the family's 1533-position model. The record is from RNAcentral.
AGGACGAACGCUGGCGGCGUGCCUAACACAUGCAAGUCGAGCGGGGACAUGCGACGGAUAGGAAGAUUCGGUUGGACUUGAAGAUGCAUGUCUAGCGGCGGACGGGUGAGUAACGCGUGAGCAACCUGUCCCUUACAGGGGGAUAACACAGCGAAAGUUGUACUAAUACCGCAUGAGACCACGGGAGGACAUCCUCCAGGGGUCAAAGGAGCAAUCCGGUAAGGGGUGGGCUCGCGUCCGAUUAGAUAGUUGGUGAGGUAACGGCCCACCAAGUCGACGAUCGGUAGCCGACCUGAGAGGGUGAUCGGCCACAUUGGGACUGAGACACGGCCCAAACUCCUACGGGAGGCAGCAGUGGGGAAUAUUGGGCAAUGGGGGGAAACCCUGACCCAGCAACGCCGCGUGAGGGAAGAAGGUUUUCGGAUCGUAAACCUCUGUCCUUGGUGAAGAGGAAGAGACGGUAGCCAAGGAGGAAGCCCCGGCUAACUACGUGCCAGCCGCCGC